UGCGCAGGCGGGCUUGUAAGUCAGUGGUGAAAUACUGCCGCUUAACGGUAGAACUGCCAUUGAUACUGCAAGUCUUGAGUAUGGUUGAGGUAGGCGGAAUGUGUUGUGUAGCGGUGAAAUGCAUAGAUAUGACACAGAACUCCAAUUGCGAAGGCAGCUUACUAAGCCAUUACUGACGCUGAGGCACGAAAGCGUGGGGAGCGAACAGGAUUAGAUACCCUGGUAGUCC
RNAcentral lists this ribosomal RNA (229 nucleotides) under uncultured bacterium. Its description in RNAcentral is "partial 16S ribosomal RNA". It matches the Rfam family "Bacterial small subunit ribosomal RNA", at positions 568 to 796 of the family's 1533-position model. The record is from RNAcentral.